This 21-nucleotide non-coding RNA is filed under the name Caenorhabditis elegans. The record is from RNAcentral. Lineage: Eukaryota; Metazoa; Nematoda; Chromadorea; Rhabditida; Rhabditidae.
UUUGCAACGAACUUAUAGUUC